Molecule: ribosomal RNA, 460 nt
Filed under: uncultured bacterium
Lineage: Bacteria
Description: partial 16S ribosomal RNA
Rfam family: Bacterial small subunit ribosomal RNA
Source: RNAcentral
CCUACGGGUGGCUGCAGUGAGGAAUAUUGGUCAAUGGACGAGAGUCUGAACCAGCCAAGUAGCGUGAAGGAUGACUGCCCUAUGGGUUGUAAACUUCUUUUAUAUGGGAAUAAAACGUUCCACGUGUGGGAUUUUGUAUGUACCAUAUGAAUAAGGAUCGGCUAACUCUGUGCCAGCAGCCGCGGUAAUACGGAGGAUCCGAGCGUUAUCCGGAUUUAUUGGGUUUAAAGGGAGCGUAGGUGGAUUGUUAAGUCAGUUGUGAAAGUUUGCGGCUCAACCGUAAAAUUGCAGUUGAAACUGGCAGUCUUGAGUACAGUAGAGGUGGGCGGAAUUCGUGGUGUAGCGGUGAAAUGCUUAGAUAUCACGAAGAACUCCGAUUGCGAAGGCAGUUCACUGGACUGCAACUGACACUGAGGCUCGAAAGUGUGGGUAUCAAACAGGAUUAGAUACCCUUGUAGUC